RNAcentral lists this transfer RNA (84 nucleotides) under Cellvibrionaceae bacterium. RNAcentral describes it as "tRNA-Tyr". It matches the Rfam family "tRNA". Rfam says of the family: Transfer RNA (tRNA) molecules are approximately 80 nucleotides in length. Lineage: Bacteria; Pseudomonadati; Pseudomonadota; Gammaproteobacteria; Cellvibrionales; Cellvibrionaceae. RNAcentral also lists the same sequence under 2 other names. The record is from RNAcentral.
GCAGGGGUUCCCGAGUGGCCAAAGGGAUCAGACUGUAAAUCUGACACGCAAGUUUCGGUGGUUCGAAUCCACCCCCCUGCACCA